This 745-nucleotide long non-coding RNA is filed under the name Panax ginseng (ginseng). RNAcentral's name for it is "long non-coding RNA (PGIN_LNC011616)". Lineage: Eukaryota; Viridiplantae; Streptophyta; Magnoliopsida; Apiales; Araliaceae. The record is from RNAcentral.
CCUUGUACAACUUUUGUUGUGCUUGUGACCAAUCUCUAGCUCCAGGUGGUUCUUCAUAACUAGUAUCAAUAAUAUCCCAAAGGUCUUGAGAUAUGAAGACAAUUUCCAUUUGACUGCUCCAGUACUAAUAGUGUUCCCCUUCAAAUAUAGGGAUUUGACUUGGAGAAUAUGCAAACAACGUAGGGACUGAAUUUGAACUCAUGAUAGCAGGAUGUGGUUUUAAAAAAAUAGCUUUGAUACCAAAUUUGUUGGGACAAACGAAAGCACAAUGAGCAAAAACAGGAAUUUAUCAAGAAUAUUGAUUAAACUAGACUUUUAUUAGAAGAAAGAUGAGAACAAUAGACUUUGCAGUGCUGCUGCUCCUGCAGAACAUAUUCUUAUAUUAUUGACUGCUAGACUUCUUUUUUUUCUUACUUCACGGGUUACAACAAUCUCCUAUUUAAUCUAGGAGUGGAGUAUUCUAGAAUAAGACUUCAAAACUCUCUGAGAAUACAAAAGACACUUAUAGAACUCAGCAAACUUAAUAACUAUAUUUAAUACUGUUUCUAAAAAUAUGAGAUUACAUAAUUACUUUCUAACAUAAAAUUAGAACUGGGAAGUCAUUUUAUGUGGCAAUUGACUUUGGUUGGAUGUUUUAACAUGAUAUUUUUCUCAUCUUCUAUUCAUGUGGUCUAACUAUGAAUAUCACAGUAAUUACACAAAUGUUACGAGUAUUUCGACUUCACCACACGGUAGAUGUACUAGG